CUGCCAGUUCAAGUGCUU
Molecule: unclassified non-coding RNA, 18 nt
Filed under: Mus musculus (house mouse)
Lineage: Eukaryota; Metazoa; Chordata; Mammalia; Rodentia; Muridae
Description: oocyte_clustered_small_RNA3231
Source: RNAcentral